RNAcentral lists this ribosomal RNA (465 nucleotides) under uncultured Weissella sp. Its description in RNAcentral is "bacterial SSU rRNA". It matches the Rfam family "Bacterial small subunit ribosomal RNA", at positions 338 to 795 of the family's 1533-position model. Lineage: Bacteria; Bacillati; Bacillota; Bacilli; Lactobacillales; Lactobacillaceae. The record is from RNAcentral.
CCUACGGGAGGCAGCAGUAGGGAAUUUUCCACAAUGGACGAAAGUCUGAUGGAGCAACGCCGCGUGUGUGAUGAGGGGUUUCGGCUCGUAAAACACUGUUGUAAGAGAAGAAUGACAUUGAGAGUAACUGUUCAGUGUGUGACGGUAUCUUACCAGAAAGGAACGGCUAAAUACGUGCCAGCAGCCGCGGUAAUACGUAUGUUCCAAGCGUUAUCCGGAUUUAUUGGGCGUAAAGCGAGCGCAGACGGUUAGUUAAGUCCCAAGUGAAAGCGCACAGCUUAACUGAUGAAGUGCGUUGGAAACUGGAUAACUUGAGUGCAGUAGAGGAGAGGGGAGGUCCAUGUGUAGCGGUGAAAUGCGUAGAUAUAUGGAAGAACACCAGUGGCGAAGGCGGGUCUCUGGACUGUGACUGACGUUGAGGCUCUAAAGUUUGGGUAGCAAACAGGAUUAGAUACCCUGGUAGUC